CAGCAGCCACGGUAAUACGGAGGGGGCUAGCGUUGUUCGGAAUUACUGGGCGUAAAGCGCACGUAGGCGGCUCGGUAAGUUAGAGGUGAAAGCCCGGAGCUCAACUCCGGAAUUGCCUUUAAGACUGCCGAGCUAGUAGGUGAGAGAGGUAAGUGGAAUUCCGAGUGUAGAGGUGAAAUUCGUAGAUAUUCGGAAGAACACCAGUGGCGAAGGCGGCUUACUGGCUCAUUCUAGACGCUGAGGUGCGAAAGCGUGGGGAGCAAACAGGAUUAGAUACCCGGGUAGUCCCUGUCUCUUAUAC
RNAcentral lists this ribosomal RNA (301 nucleotides) under uncultured bacterium. Its description in RNAcentral is "partial 16S ribosomal RNA". It matches the Rfam family "Bacterial small subunit ribosomal RNA", at positions 509 to 807 of the family's 1533-position model. The record is from RNAcentral.